RNAcentral lists this ribosomal RNA (468 nucleotides) under uncultured bacterium. RNAcentral's name for it is "partial 16S ribosomal RNA". It matches the Rfam family "Bacterial small subunit ribosomal RNA", at positions 28 to 507 of the family's 1533-position model. The record is from RNAcentral.
GACGAACGCUGGCGGCGGGCUUAACACAUGCAAGUCGAACGGAAAGGCCCUGCUGCUGUGGGGUGCUCGAGUGGCGAACGGGUGAGUAACACGUGAGUAACCUGCCCUUGACUUUGGGAUAACUUCAGGAAACUGGGGCUAAUACCGGAUAGGAGCUCCUGCUGCAUGGUGGGGGUGGGAAAGGUGCGGCGGUUGGGGAUGGACUCGCGGCUGAUCAGCUUGUUGGUGGGGUAGUGGCUUACCAAGGCUUUGACGGGUAGCCGGCCUGAGAGGGUGACCGGCCACAUUGGGACUGAGAUACGGCCCAGACUCCUACGGGAGGCAGCAGUGGGGAAUAUUGCGCAAUGGGCGGAAGCCUGAUGCAGCAACGCCGCGUGCGGGAUGACGGCCUUCGGGUUGUAAACCGCUUUCGCCUGUGACGAAGCGUGAGUGACGGUAAUGGGUAAAGAAGCACCGGCUAACUACGUG